RNAcentral lists this ribosomal RNA (253 nucleotides) under uncultured bacterium. RNAcentral describes it as "partial 16S ribosomal RNA". It matches the Rfam family "Bacterial small subunit ribosomal RNA", at positions 524 to 776 of the family's 1533-position model. The record is from RNAcentral.
UACGUAGGGGCCGAGCGUUGUCCGGAGUUAUUGGGCGUAAAGCGCGCGCAGGCGGCCUCGCGCGCCCGACGUGAAAGCCCCCGGCUUAACCGGGGAGGGUCGUUGGGGACGGCGGGGCUUGAGGGCGGGAGAGGGCGGUGGAAUUCCCGGUGUAGUGGUGAAAUCCGUAAAUAUACGAAGGAACGCCAAAAGCGAAGGCAGCUCUCUGGGUCCCUACCGACGCUGGGGUGCGAAAGCAUGGGGAGCGAACAGG